Molecule: RNase P RNA, 283 nt
Filed under: Candidatus Altarchaeota archaeon
Lineage: Archaea; Nanobdellati; Candidatus Altarchaeota
Description: Altiarchaeota archaeon Archaeal RNase P
Rfam family: Archaeal RNase P
About the family: Ribonuclease P (RNase P) is a ubiquitous endoribonuclease, found in archaea, bacteria and eukarya as well as chloroplasts and mitochondria. Its best characterised activity is the generation of mature 5'-ends of tRNAs by cleaving the 5'-leader elements of precursor-tRNAs.
Source: Rfam by way of RNAcentral
GGCAGCGGCCGGACGACCAUCGGUUUUCGAACUGAGGAAGGGGAUCCAUCAACAAAACUGCAGGGGGGUAACCCCUACGCUGAGAGGCGUGCUCUAUCACAGAAACGACACGCGCCUCUGCCAACUAUGAUGCGGGAACGCUGAGGUUCCAGGGGGCCGCGAUGCAACGGUUCAAUCUGCAGGAUGCAAGGCGGUUUCGCCGCUUAGUCGAAUGUCGUCAUGUGGGCUUCCAGGCUUCAAUUGUCUGGACCCGCUAACAGAAGAGUCCCUACGAGCCGCAGCC